This 86-nucleotide transfer RNA is filed under the name Methanobacteriota archaeon. Its description in RNAcentral is "Euryarchaeota archaeon (marine metagenome) tRNA-Ser". It matches the Rfam family "tRNA". Rfam says of the family: Transfer RNA (tRNA) molecules are approximately 80 nucleotides in length. The record is from RNAcentral. Lineage: Archaea; Methanobacteriati; Methanobacteriota.
GCGAUGAUCGCAUAGCCUGGCCAUUGCGCCGGAUUGCUAAUCCGGUGGGUCUACCCACGGGAGUUCGAAUCUCCCUCAUCGCGCCA